This 484-nucleotide ribosomal RNA is filed under the name uncultured bacterium. RNAcentral's name for it is "partial 16S ribosomal RNA". It matches the Rfam family "Bacterial small subunit ribosomal RNA", at positions 30 to 506 of the family's 1533-position model. The record is from RNAcentral.
UUGAACGCUGGCGGCAUGCCUUACACAUGCAAGUCGAACGGCAGCACGGGUGCUUGCACCUGGUGGCGAGUGGCGAACGGGUGAGUAAUACAUCGGAACAUGUCCUGUAGUGGGGGAUAGCCCGGCGAAAGCCGGAUUAAUACCGCAUACGAUCUACGGAUGAAAGCGGGGGACCUUCGGGCCUCGCGCUAUAGGGUUGGCCGAUGGCUGAUUAGCUAGUUGGUGGGGUAAAGGCCUACCAAGGCGACGAUCAGCAGCUGGUCUGAGAGGACGACCAGCCACACUGGGACUGAGACACGGCCCAGACUCCUACGGGAGGCAGCAGUGGGGAAUUUUGGACAAUGGGCGAAAGCCUGAUCCAGCAAUGCCGCGUGUGUGAAGAAGGCCUUCGGGUUGUAAAGCACUUUUGUCCGGAAAGAAAUCCUUGGCCCUAAUACGGUCGGGGGAUGACGGUACCGGAAGAAUAAGCACCGGCUAACUACGU